This 429-nucleotide ribosomal RNA is filed under the name Verrucomicrobiota bacterium. RNAcentral describes it as "Verrucomicrobia bacterium partial 16S ribosomal RNA". It matches the Rfam family "Bacterial small subunit ribosomal RNA", at positions 355 to 776 of the family's 1533-position model. Lineage: Bacteria; Pseudomonadati; Verrucomicrobiota. The record is from RNAcentral.
UAGGGAAUCUUCGGCAAUGGGGGGAACCCUGACCGAGCAACGCCGCGUGAGUGAAGAAGGUUUUCGGAUCGUAAAGCUCUGUUGUUAAGGAAGAACGAGUGUGAGAAUGGAAAGUUCAUGCUGUGACGGUACUUAACCAGAAAGGGACGGCUAACUACGUGCCAGCAGCCGCGGUAAUACGUAGGUCCCGAGCGUUGUCCGGAUUUAUUGGGCGUAAAGCGAGCGCAGGCGGUUAGAAAAGUCUGAAGUGAAAGGCAGUGGCUCAACCAUUGUAGGCUUUGGAAACUGUUUAACUUGAGUGCAGAAGGGGAGAGUGGAAGUCCAUGUGUAGCGGUGAAAUGCGUAGAUAUAUGGAGGAACACCGGUGGCGAAAGCGGCUUUUUGGCCUGCAACUGACACUGAGGCGCGAAAGCGUGGGGAGCAAACAGG